Amphimedon queenslandica is the source of this 309-nucleotide long non-coding RNA. RefSeq lists it as uncharacterized. The transcript has 2 exons. NCBI's taxonomy places the organism in Eukaryota, Metazoa, Porifera, Demospongiae, Haplosclerida, Niphatidae. The record is from RefSeq and is a predicted model, not a curated record.
CACUGGAAUACUGUAGAAUGUUUAGUUAUAACACUCCAGAUGGUCCCUCUUUCUUACAAACUUUGUCUUUGUCAUCAUUAAUUUUCAUAAAAUCUCGGUCUCUCCUGAUCUAGGAGUGUCUCUUAAUUCAUUGGAUCAAUGUUCCCUCCCACUCAAUGCACUGGAGACUGGAACUGAGACAUAGUGUCAUUCUUCCUUAGGAAUAGAGGUAAAUGAUACUAUUUAUAGUAACACUGAUACUAUUUAUAGUACAAUCCUAUUGAUUGACACUAUGCUAUUGUACUGUAGUAUAUGAUAUAGACUUCUCAA